UGCAUACUCCCUCCGCCCGGAAAAACUUGUCCCAAGCUUUUCCAUCAAAUAGAUGUAUCUAGCACUAACUUGGUGCUAGAUACAUCCAUUUAAGGGACAAAUUUUUUUGGACGGAGGGAGUAUGAU
This is a non-coding RNA of Triticum aestivum (bread wheat), 126 nucleotides long. NCBI's taxonomy places the organism in Eukaryota, Viridiplantae, Streptophyta, Magnoliopsida, Poales, Poaceae. The record is from Rfam.